AGUGAACGCUGGCGGUAGGCCUAACACAUGCAAGUCGAACGGCAGCACAGUAAGAGCUUGCUCUUACGGGUGGCGAGUGGCGGACGGGUGAGGAAUACAUCGGAAUCUACUUUUUCGUGGGGGAUAACGUAGGGAAACUUACGCUAAUACCGCAUACGACCUACGGGUGAAAGCAGGGGAUCUUCGGACCUUGCGCGAUUGAAUGAGCCGAUGUCGGAUUAGCUAGUUGGCGGGGUAAAGGCCCACCAAGGCGACGAUCCGUAGCUGGCCUGAGAGGAUGAUCAGUCACACUGGAACUGAGACACGGUCCAGACUCCUACGGGAGGCAGCAGUGGGGAAUAUUGGACAAAGGGCGCAAGCCUGAUCCAGCCAUACCGCGUGGGUGAAGAAGGCCUUCGGGUUGUAAAGCCCUUUUGUUGGGAAAGAAAAGCAGCAGGUUAAUACCCCGCUGUUCUGACGGUACCCAAAGAAUAAGCACCGGCUAACUUCGUG
RNAcentral lists this ribosomal RNA (492 nucleotides) under uncultured bacterium. Its description in RNAcentral is "partial 16S ribosomal RNA". It matches the Rfam family "Bacterial small subunit ribosomal RNA", at positions 29 to 507 of the family's 1533-position model. The record is from RNAcentral.